AUUUCCUACGGGAGGCAGCAGUGAGGAAUAUUGGACAAUGGGCGAGAGCCUGUUCCAGCCAUCCCGCGGGAAGGACGACGCCCCUUGGGGUUGUAAACUUCUUUUGUAUUGGGAUAAACCUACCCUCGUGAGGGUAGCUGAAGGUACUAUACGAAUACGCCCCGCCUAACUCCGUGGCAGCAGCCGCGGUAAUACGGAGGGAACGAGCGUUAUAGAGAUGCAU
This 223-nucleotide ribosomal RNA is filed under the name uncultured Chryseobacterium sp. RNAcentral's name for it is "partial 16S ribosomal RNA". It matches the Rfam family "Bacterial small subunit ribosomal RNA", at positions 334 to 544 of the family's 1533-position model. Lineage: Bacteria; Pseudomonadati; Bacteroidota; Flavobacteriia; Flavobacteriales; Weeksellaceae. The record is from RNAcentral.